GAUGAACGCUGGCGGCGUGCCUAAUACAUGCAAGUCGAGCGAACAGACGAGGAGCUUACUCCUCUGACGUUAGCGGCGGACGGGUGAGUAACACGUGGAUAACCUACCUAUAAGACUGGGAUAACUUCGGGAAACCGGAGCUAAUACCGGAUAACAUGUUGAACCGCAUGGUUCAACAGUGAAAGACGGUCUUGCUGUCACUUAUAGAUGGAUCCGCGUCGCAUUAGCUAGUUGGUAAGGUAACGGCUUACCAAGGCAACGAUGCGUAGCCGACCUGAGAGGGUGACCGGCCACACUGGAACUGGGACACGGUCCAGACUCCUACGGGAGGCAGCAGUAGGGAAUCUUCCGCAAUGGGCGAAAGCCUGACGGAGCAACGCCGCGUGAGUGAAGAAGGUCUUCGGAUCUUAAAACUCUGUUAUUAGGGAAGAACAAAUGUGUAAGUAACUAUGCACGUCUUGACGGUACCUAAUCAGAAAGCCACGGCUAACUACGUG
Molecule: ribosomal RNA, 497 nt
Filed under: uncultured bacterium
Lineage: Bacteria
Description: partial 16S ribosomal RNA
Rfam family: Bacterial small subunit ribosomal RNA
Source: RNAcentral